AUUGAACGCUGGCGGCAGGCCUAACACAUGCAAGUCGAGCGGAUGACGGGAGCUUGCUCCUUGAUUCAGCGGCGGACGGGUGAGUAAUGCCUAGGAAUCUGCCUGGUUGUGGGGGACAACGUUUCGAAAGGAACGCUAAUACCGCAUACGUCCUACGGGAGAAAGCAGGGGACCUUCGGGCCUUGCGCUAUCAGAUGAGCCUAGGUCGGAUUAGCUUGUUGGUGAGGUAAUGGCUCACCAAGGCGACGAUCCGUAACUGGUCUGAGAGGAUGAUCAGUCACACUGGAACUGAGACACGGUCCAGACUCCUACGGGAGGCAGCAGUGGGGAAUAUUGGACAAUGGGCGAAAGCCUGAUCCAGCCAUGCCGCGUGUGUGAAGAAGGUCUUCGGAUUGUAAAGCACUUUAAGUUGGGAGGAAGGGUUGUAGAUUAAUACUCUGCAAUUUUGACGUUACCGACAGAAUAAGCACCGGCUAACUCUGUG
Molecule: ribosomal RNA, 484 nt
Filed under: uncultured bacterium
Lineage: Bacteria
Description: partial 16S ribosomal RNA
Rfam family: Bacterial small subunit ribosomal RNA
Source: RNAcentral